AGAGUUUGAUCAUGGCUCAGGAUGAACGCUGGCGGCGUGCCUAACACAUGCAAGUCGAACGGGAAUCCUCGGAUUCUAGUGGCGGACGGGUGAGUAACGCGUGAGAAUCUAACUUCAGGACGGGGACAACAGUUGGAAACGACUGCUAAUACCCGAUAUGCCGCGAGGUGAAACCUAAUUGGCCUGAAGAAGAGCUUGCGUCUGAUUAGCUAGUUGGUGGGGUAAGAGCCUACCAAGGCGACGAUCAGUAGCUGGUCUGAGAGGAUGAGCAGCCACACUGGGACUGAGACACGGCCCAGACUCCUACGGGAGGCAGCAGUGGGGAAUUUUCCGCAAUGGGCGAAAGCCUGACGGAGCAACGCCGCGUGAGGGAGGAAGGUCUUUGGAUUGUAAACCUCUUUUCUCAAGGAAGAAGUUCUGACGGUACUUGAGGAAUCAGCCUCGGCUAACUCCGUGCCAGCAGCCGCGGUAAUACGGGGGAGGCAAGCGUUAUCCGGAAUUAUUGGGCGUAAAGCGUCCGCAGGUGGUCAGCCAAGUCUGCCGUCAAAUCAGGUUGCUUAACGACCUAAAGGCGGUGGAAACUGGCAGACUAGAGAGCAGUAGGGGUAGCAGGAAUUCCCAGUGUAGCGGUGAAAUGCGUAGAGAUUGGGAAGAACAUCGGUGGCGAAAGCGUGCUACUGGGCUGUAUCUGACACUCAGGGACGAAAGCUAGGGGAGCGAAAGGGAUUAGAUACCCCUGUAGUCCUAGCCGUAAACGAUGGAUACUAGGCGUGGCUUGUAUCGACCCGAGCCGUGCCGAAGCUAACGCGUUAAGUAUCCCGCCUGGGGAGUACGCACGCAAGUGUGAAACUCAAAGGAAUUGACGGGGCCCGCACAAGCGGUGGAGUAUGUGGUUUAAUUCGAUGCAACGCGAGACUUACCAGACUUGACAUGUCGCGAACCUGUGAAGCUGGGGUGCUUCGGAGCGCGACACAGUGGUGCAUGCUGUCGUCAGCUCGUGUCGUGAGAUGUUGGGUAGUCCCGCAACGAGGCGCAACCCUCGGUCUUUA
This 1049-nucleotide ribosomal RNA is filed under the name uncultured bacterium. RNAcentral describes it as "bacterial SSU rRNA". It matches the Rfam family "Bacterial small subunit ribosomal RNA", at positions 8 to 1114 of the family's 1533-position model. The record is from RNAcentral.